This 110-nucleotide Y RNA is filed under the name Microcebus murinus (gray mouse lemur). RNAcentral describes it as "Y RNA (ENSMICG00000044780.1)". It matches the Rfam family "Y RNA". From Rfam's summary of the family: Y RNAs are components of the Ro ribonucleoprotein particle (Ro RNP), in association with Ro60 and La proteins. The Y RNAs and Ro60 and La proteins are well conserved, but the function of the Ro RNP is not known. The record is from Rfam by way of RNAcentral. Lineage: Eukaryota; Metazoa; Chordata; Mammalia; Primates; Cheirogaleidae.
AGCUGGUCCGAAGGUAGUGAGUUAUCUCACUUGAUUGUUCAGUCAAUUACGGAUUGAAAUACUUGUUCAACUCUUCACCCCUUCUCACUACAGCAUUUGACUUGUCAAAA